Long non-coding RNA from Sarcophilus harrisii (Tasmanian devil), 726 nucleotides. RefSeq lists it as uncharacterized. Lineage: Eukaryota; Metazoa; Chordata; Mammalia; Dasyuromorphia; Dasyuridae. The record is from RefSeq and is a predicted model, not a curated record. The transcript is spliced from 3 exons.
AAUAAAGACUCUAGACUCUAUUCUUGACCAUUUCUGUGGUAUCUGUCCUGUUGAGACCAAGGCCCAUCUGAAGGACCUUCAAGAAAGUUAGCCCGAACAUUACAGGUGAGAAAAACAAGGACCAAAGGGAUAAAGUGGUUUUCAAGAUAUCGAUGGCCCACAUGAUGGAAAGAGAAACUGAAAGCUAAAAGAGACCAACAACCCUGGAAGUCCUUCCAUGUUUUGAAAUUCUAUAAAAUUAAAUAUAUAACAGCAGUCAGUCCUAUAAGCAAAUUUAGGAAUACCAAUAUCAGAUAUAAUUCUGUAUGAAUUUUGAUGAAAUUGCAAUUGAGGGAGGGAGUGGGAGGAAAGAAACCUAUCUUGUUUCUGUUAAAUGCUUAUAAAGACAAACCCUAAGUACAUGCUUUGGGUAGGAAAAAAGUAGAUAAAGCAGACUUGAUUACCUACUAGCAGGCUGAGUCUAAAACUACACAAUUCAAAAUUACAUUUUAUCAUUAAGUAAAUUACUCCAGUCAUUGUUUUAACUGAGAAACUAUCAUAUCAGUAAGAUUAUAAUUUUUUCAGUUACAGGCAGCAUGGAUUCAAAGUCAUGGGAUCCUCCCAUUCUCAUGAGAUUCUAUAAGAUGAAACUAGUAAUGAAACCCCCUUUUUUUGUUAAUUCCAAUCGUUAUACUAAUUUGCAUAUUCUGUAUAAAAUAUAUUGGAUUAUUUGCCAUCUAGGGAAAG